RNAcentral lists this ribosomal RNA (200 nucleotides) under uncultured bacterium. RNAcentral describes it as "partial 16S ribosomal RNA". It matches the Rfam family "Bacterial small subunit ribosomal RNA", at positions 524 to 723 of the family's 1533-position model. The record is from RNAcentral.
UACGUAGGGUGCAAGCGUUGUCCGGAUUUAUUGGGUUUAAAGGGUGCGUAGGCGGUUUAAUAAGUCAGUGGUGAAAGACAACAGCUCAACUGUUGAGGUGCCAUUGAUACUGUUAAACUUGAGUACAGACGAGGUAGGCGGAAUUGACAGUGUAGCGGUGAAAUGCAUAGAUAUUGUCAAGAACACCGAUAGCGAAGGCA